UAAUACGUAGGUGGCAAGCGUUGUCCGGAAUUAUUGGGCGUAAAGGGCUCGCAGGCGGUUUCUUAAGUCUGAUGUGAAAGCCCCCGGCUCAACCGGGGAGGGUCAUUGGAAACUGGGAAACUUGAGUGCAGAAGAGGAGAGUGGAAUUCCACGUGUAGCGGUGAAAUGCGUAGAGAUGUGGAGGAACACCAGUGGCGAAGGCGACUCUCUGGUCUGUAACUGACGCUGAGGAGCGAAAGCGUGGGGAGCGAACAGGAUUAGAUACCCUGGUAGUCCACGCCGUAAACGAUGAGUGCUAAGUGUUAGGGGGUUUCCGCCCCUUAGUGCUGCAGCUAACGCAUUAAGCACUCCGCCUGGGGAGUACGGUCGCAAGACUGAAACUCAAAGGAAUUGACGG
This 397-nucleotide ribosomal RNA is filed under the name bacterium enrichment culture. RNAcentral describes it as "bacterial SSU rRNA". It matches the Rfam family "Bacterial small subunit ribosomal RNA", at positions 521 to 916 of the family's 1533-position model. The record is from RNAcentral.